GGGGAUUUAGCUCAGUGGUAGAGCGCUUGCCUAGCAAGCACAAGGCCCUGGGUUCGGCCCCCUGCUCCU
This 69-nucleotide transfer RNA is filed under the name Rattus norvegicus (Norway rat). It matches the Rfam family "tRNA". From Rfam's summary of the family: Transfer RNA (tRNA) molecules are approximately 80 nucleotides in length. Their secondary structure includes four short double-helical elements and three loops (D, anti-codon, and T loops). The record is from Rfam by way of RNAcentral. Lineage: Eukaryota; Metazoa; Chordata; Mammalia; Rodentia; Muridae.